This 1436-nucleotide ribosomal RNA is filed under the name uncultured organism. RNAcentral describes it as "SSU rRNA". It matches the Rfam family "Bacterial small subunit ribosomal RNA". The record is from RNAcentral.
ACGCUAGCUACAGGCUUAACACAUGCAAGUCGAGGGGCAGCAUUUUAGUUUGCUUGCAAACUGAAGAUGGCGACCGGCGCACGGGUGAGUAACACGUAUCCAACCUGCCGAUAACUCCGGGAUAGCCUUUCGAAAGAAAGAUUAAUACCGGAUAGUAUACGAAUAUCGCAUGAUAUUUUUAUUAAAGAAUUUCGGUUAUCGAUGGGGAUGCGUUCCAUUAGUUUGUUGGCGGGGUAACGGCCCACCAAGACUACGAUGGAUAGGGGUUCUGAGAGGAAGGUCCCCCACAUUGGAACUGAGACACGGUCCAAACUCCUACGGGAGGCAGCAGUGAGGAAUAUUGGUCAAUGGGCGCGAGCCUGAACCAGCCAAGUAGCGUGAAGGAUGAAGGCUCUAUGGGUCGUAAACUUCUUUUAUAUGGGAAUAAAGCUUUCCACGUGUGGAAUUUUGUAUGUACCAUAUGAAUAAGGAUCGGCUAACUCCGUGCCAGCAGCCGCGGUAAUACGGAGGAUCCGAGCGUUAUCCGGAUUUAUUGGGUUUAAAGGGAGCGUAGGUGGAUUGUUAAGUCAGUUGUGAAAGUUUGCGGCUCAACCGUAAAAUUGCAGUUGAAACUGGCAGUCUUGAGUACAGUAGAGGUGGGCGGAAUUCGUGGUGUAGCGGUGAAAUGCUUAGAUAUCACGAAGAACUCCGAUUGCGAAGGCAGCUCACUAGACUGUCACUGACACUGAUGCUCGAAAGUGUGGGUAUCAAACAGGAUUAGAUACCCUGGUAGUCCACACAGUAAACGAUGAAUACUCGCUGUUUGCGAUAUACAGUAAGCGGCCAAGCGAAAGCAUUAAGUAUUCCACCUGGGGAGUACGCCGGCAACGGUGAAACUCAAAGGAAUUGACGGGGGCCCGCACAAGCGGAGGAACAUGUGGUUUAAUUCGAUGAUACGCGAGGAACCUUACCCGGGCUUAAAUUGCAACAGAAUAUAUUGGAAACAGUAUAGCCGUAAGGCUGUUGUGAAGGUGCUGCAUGGUUGUCGUCAGCUCGUGCCGUGAGGUGUCGGCUUAAGUGCCAUAACGAGCGCAACCCUUAUCUUUAGUUACUAACAGGUUAUGCUGAGGACUCUAGAGAGACUGCCGUCGUAAGAUGUGAGGAAGGUGGGGAUGACGUCAAAUCAGCACGGCCCUUACGUCCGGGGCUACACACGUGUUACAAUGGGGGGUACAGAAGGCGGCUACCUGGUGACAGGAUGCUAAUCCCAAAAACCUCUCUCAGUUCGGAUCGAAGUCUGCAACCCGACUUCGUGAAGCUGGAUUCGCUAGUAAUCGCGCAUCAGCCAUGGCGCGGUGAAUACGUUCCCGGGCCUUGUACACACCGCCCGUCAAGCCAUGAAAGCCGGGGGUACAAGAAGUACGUAACCGCAAGGAGCGUCCUAGGGUAAAACUGGA